This 726-nucleotide ribosomal RNA is filed under the name uncultured Ascomycota. RNAcentral describes it as "SSU rRNA". It matches the Rfam family "Eukaryotic small subunit ribosomal RNA", at positions 410 to 1142 of the family's 1831-position model. Lineage: Eukaryota; Fungi; Ascomycota. The record is from RNAcentral.
CCACAUCCAAGGAAGGCAGCAGGCGCGCAAAUUACCCAAUGCUAAUUCAGCGAGGUAGUGACAAUAAAUACUGAUACGGGGCUCUUUCGGGUCUCGUAAUUGGAAUGAGUACAAUCUAAAUCCCUUAACGAGGAACAAUUGGAGGGCAAGUCUGGUGCCAGCAGCCGCGGUAAUUCCAGCUCCAAUAGCGUAUAUUAAAGUUGUUGCCGUUAAAAAGCUCGUAGUUGAACCUUGGACCUGGCUGAUCUGUCCUCCUAAUCGAGCGCACGGAUUCGGUCGGGUCUUUCCUUCUGGGGAGCCCCAUGCCCUUUACUGGGUGUGGUGGGGAACCAGGACUUUUACCUUGAAAAAAUUAGAGUGUUCAAAGCAGGCCUUUGCUCGAAUACAUUAGCAUGGAAUAAUAGAAUAGGACAUCGGUUCUAUUUUGUUGGUUUCUAGGACCGCUGUAAUGAUUAAUAGGGAUAGUCGGGGGCGUCAGUAUUCAAUUGUCAGAGGUGAAAUUCUUGGAUUUAUUGAAGACUAACUACUGCGAAAGCAUUCGCCAAGGAUGUUUUCAUUAAUCAGUGAACGAAAGUUAGGGGAUCGAAGACGAUCAGAUACCGUCGUAGUCUUAACCAUAAACUAUGCCGACUAGGGAUCGGACGGUGGUUUUUUUAUGCCCCGUUCGGCACCUUACGAGAAAUCAAAGUUUUUGGGUCGGGGGGGAGUAUGGUCGCAAGGCUGAAA